UUUCCGUAGGUGAACCUGCGGAAGGAUCAUUAUUGGAUUUUGGAACUUCAGGCUGCUGCUGGCUCUCCUCGGAGGGCAUGUGCACGCUUGUUGUCCAUUAUUUCUCCCACUGUGCACAAAUUGUAGACCUUUCAGUAGGCCUAUGUUGUUUUUCACAAUCUCUGAAUGUAAUAGAAUGGUUUUGAAUCUUGGGAAAUACAAUACAACUUUCAGCAACGGAUCUCUUGGCUCUCGCGUCGAUGAAGAACGCAGC
Molecule: unclassified non-coding RNA, 253 nt
Filed under: plant metagenome
Description: partial contains small subunit ribosomal RNA, internal transcribed spacer 1, and 5.8S ribosomal RNA
Rfam family: 5.8S ribosomal RNA (bases 205-253)
Source: RNAcentral